Molecule: ribosomal RNA, 502 nt
Filed under: uncultured bacterium
Lineage: Bacteria
Description: bacterial SSU rRNA
Rfam family: Bacterial small subunit ribosomal RNA
Source: RNAcentral
AUGGCUCAGGACGAACGGCUGGCGGCGUGCUUAACACAUGCAAGUCGAACGAAGCAGCAGUGAAGGAGGCUUCGGCCAAUGGAUCUGUUGACUUAGUGGCGGACGGGUGAGUAACGCGUGAGCAACCUGCCUUUCAGAGGGGGAUAACGUUUGGAAACGAACGCUAAUACCGCAUGAAGUAUCUUUGCUGCAUGACAGAGAUACCAAAGGAGCAAUCCGCUGAAAGAUGGGCUCGCGUCCGAUUAGAUAGUUGGUGGGGUAACGGCCUACCAAGUCGACGAUCGGUAGCCGGACUGAGAGGUUGAACGGCCACAUUGGGACUGAGACACGGCCCAGACUCCUACGGGAGGCAGCAGUGGGGAAUAUUGCACAAUGGGCGAAAGCCUGAUGCAGCAACGCCGCGUGAGGGAAGACGGUUUUCGGAUUGUAAACCUUUGUCCUUGGUGAAGAUAGUGACGGUAGCCGAGGAGGAAGCCACGGCUAACUACGUGCCAGCCGCCGC